Molecule: ribosomal RNA, 496 nt
Filed under: uncultured bacterium
Lineage: Bacteria
Description: partial 16S ribosomal RNA
Rfam family: Bacterial small subunit ribosomal RNA
Source: RNAcentral
AUGAACGCUGGCGGCGUGCCUAAUACAUGCCAGUCGAGCGAACAGAUGAGGAGCUUGCUCCUCUGACGUUAGCGGCGGACGGGUGAGUAACACGUGGAUAACCUACCUAUAAGACUGGGAUAACUUCGGGAAACCGGAGCUAAUACCGGAUAAUAUAUUGAACCGCAUGGUUCAAUAGUGAAAGACGGUUUUGCUGUCACUUAUAGAUUGAUCCGCGCCGCAUUAGCUAGUUGGUAAGGUAACGGCUUACCAAGGCAACGAUGCGUAGCCGACCUGAGAGGGUGAGCGGCCACACUGGAACUGAGACACGGUCCAGACUCCUACGGGAGGCAGCAGUAGGGAAUCUUCCGCAAUGGGCGAAAGCAUGACGGAGCAACGCCGCGUGAGUGAUGAAGGUCUUCGGAUCGUAAAACUCUGUUAUUAGGGAAGAACAAAUGUGUAAGUAACUAUGCACGUCUUGACGGUACCUAAUCAGAAAGCCACGGCUAACUACGUG